This 508-nucleotide ribosomal RNA is filed under the name uncultured bacterium. RNAcentral describes it as "bacterial SSU rRNA". It matches the Rfam family "Bacterial small subunit ribosomal RNA", at positions 17 to 518 of the family's 1533-position model. The record is from RNAcentral.
UUAUGGCUCAGGAUGAACGCUAGCGGCAGGCUUAACACAUGCAAGUCGAGGGGCAUCGUGGAGUAGCAAUACUCUGACGGCGACCGGCGAAAGGGUGAGUAACGCGUGAGCAACAUGCCCGGUACCGGAGGAUAGUCGAUGGAAACGUCGCGUAAUACUCCGUAACAUACGGAACCGCAUGAUUCUGUAUUGAGAGAUUUAUCGCUACCGGAUUGGCUCGCGUCCCAUUAGGCAGUUGGCGGGGUAACGGCCCACCAAACCGGCGAUGGGUAGGGGUUCUGAGAGGAAGGUCCCCCACAUUGGAACUGAGACACGGUCCAGACUCCUACGGGAGGCAGCAGUGAGGAAUAUUGGUCAAUGGCCGAGAGGCUGAACCAGCCAAGUAAGCGUGCGGGACGACGGCCCUACGGGUUGUAAACUGCUUUUGCGGGAGGAUAAAUGACGCCACGUGUGGCGUUUUGCAGGUAUCCCGUGAAUAAGGACCGGCUAAUUCCGUGCCAGCCGCAGC